Molecule: long non-coding RNA, 365 nt
Organism: Gossypium arboreum
Lineage: Eukaryota; Viridiplantae; Streptophyta; Magnoliopsida; Malvales; Malvaceae
Exons: 2
Source: RefSeq, a predicted model, not a curated record
AAUCUUCUACCCCUUUAAAGAAAAAAAAAUUGAAACGCCCCUAAAUGCUCUCAAACCCCUUCGUCUGAAUGCUAAUUCCAGCGAGAAAAAGGGGGCACCACGGUGGCAACGGGCGAAACCCAGGUACGAAUGUACGGAGCUUGGUGGUCGUACGGUGCUACGCUGACGGUGAGGACAAAGGGCUGCUUGGUGGCUACUGCAGCGCGCCUUGCUGCUUAGGGUUUGCUGUUUGGCUAAACCUAUGUUUAUGUUUUGGGCCAUUGGGCCACAUUGUAAAUGGGUAUUUGGGUCUUGCCUUAGUUGGGCUAUUUGUAAGAGUUUUGGACUGUUAUAAGAUUUAAAUUUUGGUAUUGUAUUUGGGUUAA